CCUACGGGAGGCUGCAGUGGGGAAUAUUGGACAAUGGGCGAAAGCCUGAUCCAGCCAUGCCGCGUGUGUGAAGAAGGCCUUCGGGUUGUAAAGCACUUUCAGUGGGGAAGAAAGCCUUGGGGCUAAUACCCUCGAGGAAGGACAUCACCCACAGAAGAAGCACCGGCUAACUCCGUGCCAGCAGCCGCGGUAAUACGGAGGGUGCGAGCGUUAAUCGGAAUUACUGGGCGUAAAGCGCGCGUAGGCGGUCUGAUAAGCCGGUUGUGAAAGCCCCGGGCUCAACCUGGGAACGGCAUCCGGAACUGUCAGGCUAGAGUGCAGUAGAGGAAGGUAGAAUUCCCGGUGUAGCGGUGAAAUGCGUAGAGAUCGGGAGGAAUACCAGUGGCGAAGGCGGCCUUCUGGACUGACACUGACGCUGAGGUGCGAAAGCGUGGGUAGCAAACAGGAUUAGAUACCCGAGUAGUC
RNAcentral lists this ribosomal RNA (465 nucleotides) under Vreelandella stevensii. RNAcentral's name for it is "partial 16S ribosomal RNA". It matches the Rfam family "Bacterial small subunit ribosomal RNA", at positions 338 to 795 of the family's 1533-position model. Lineage: Bacteria; Pseudomonadati; Pseudomonadota; Gammaproteobacteria; Oceanospirillales; Halomonadaceae. The record is from RNAcentral.